This 479-nucleotide ribosomal RNA is filed under the name uncultured bacterium. RNAcentral's name for it is "partial 16S ribosomal RNA". It matches the Rfam family "Bacterial small subunit ribosomal RNA", at positions 28 to 507 of the family's 1533-position model. The record is from RNAcentral.
GAUGAACGCUAGUGGGAGGCCUAACACAUGCAAGCCGAGCGGUAUUGUUUCUUCGGAAAUGAGAGAGCGGCGUACGGGUGCGUAACACGUGUGCAACCUGCCUUUAUCUGGGGGAUAGCCUUUCGAAAGGAAGAUUAAUACUCCAUAAUAUAUUGAACGGCAUCGUUUAAUAUUGAAAGCUCCGGCGGAUAGAGAUGGGCACGCGCAAGAUUAGCUAGUUGGUGAGGUAACGGCUCACCAAGGCGAUGAUCUUUAGGGGGCCUGAGAGGGUGAUCCCCCACACUGGUACUGAGACACGGACCAGACUCCUACGGGAGGCAGCAGUGAGGAAUAUUGGUCAAUGGGUGCAAGCCUGAACCAGCCAUCCCGCGUGAAGGACGACUGCCCUAUGGGUUGUAAACUUCUUUUGUAUAGGGAUAAACCUACCCUCGAGAGGGUAGCUGAAGGUACUAUACGAAUAAGCACCGGCUAACUCCGUG